Molecule: non-coding RNA, 32 nt
Filed under: Mus musculus (house mouse)
Lineage: Eukaryota; Metazoa; Chordata; Mammalia; Rodentia; Muridae
Source: RNAcentral
UUUAAGAUCUGAACCACAAUAUUAACCAAGUA